This 164-nucleotide ribosomal RNA is filed under the name uncultured bacterium. Its description in RNAcentral is "partial 16S rRNA". It matches the Rfam family "Bacterial small subunit ribosomal RNA", at positions 355 to 511 of the family's 1533-position model. The record is from RNAcentral.
UAGGGAAUCUUCGGCAAUGGGGGCAACCCUGACCGAGCAACGCCGCGUGAGUGAAGAAGGUUUUCGGAUCGUAAAGCUCUGUUGUAAGAGAAGAACGUGUGUGAGAGUGGAAAGUUCACACAGUGACGGUAACUUACCAGAAGGGACGGCUAACUACGUGCCAG